This 1043-nucleotide long non-coding RNA is filed under the name Salmo salar (Atlantic salmon). RNAcentral describes it as "lncRNA (ENSSSAG00000092064.1)". The record is from RNAcentral. Lineage: Eukaryota; Metazoa; Chordata; Actinopteri; Salmoniformes; Salmonidae.
UGUGUGUGUGUGUGUGUGUGAACUGUGUGAACUCCUGAGGAGGACCUUGACAAUGCAGGGAAAGUGAAUGACAAGUCAAUCUGCAUUCCAAUGGAGGAGGAAGACCCAGACAGGGCUAAAUAGUAGGAUCACUAGCCAGGGGACAGGUUAGGUUAGGAGGCUGAGGAGGCUGUUAUGGUUACAGUCAGACAGGGGACAGGUUAGGUUAGGGGGCUGAGGAGGCUGUUAUGGUUACAGUCAGACAGGGGACAGGUUAGGUUAGGGGGCUGAGGAGGCUGUUAUGGUUACAGUCAGACAGGGGACAGGUUAGGUUAGGGGGCUGAGGAGGCUGUUAUGGUUACAGUCAGACAGGGGACAGGUUAGGUUAGGGGGCUGAGGAGGCUGUUAUGGUUACAGUCAGACAGGGGACAGGUUAGGUUAGGGGGCUGAGGAGGCUGUUAUGGUUACAGUCAGACAGGGGACAGGUUAGGUUAGGGGGCUCUUGGUUCUUAGUGUGUUUGUCUGGGCAUGUUGAGCAGUGGUUUAGUUGUGCAGUGGUUCUGUGGGUUCUAGAAUAGUUCAACUAGAAGUGAAUUUUGGGUCAUUCCAGAUGUGACAAAGUCCAGAUGAAAUCUAGAGGGAUGAAAUCUAGAGGGGUGAAAUCUAUAGGGGGUAUGCUAGGACAUGUUGAUUGUAUAGAGGAGGAUUGUAGUUCAUGUUUUAGUUUGAUAGUUCUAUUGACCAUUUUAUCUCAUCAAACUGAACUACAGAACAUAAUAAUCUAUAUUUUAUCUCACCAAACUGAACUACAGAACAUAAUAAUCUAUAUUUUAUCUCAUCAAACUGAACUACAAAACAUAAUAAUCUAUAUUUUAUCUCACCAAACUGAACUACAGAACAUAAUAAUUUAUAUUUUAUCUCAGCAAACUGAACUACAGAACAUAAUAAUCUAUAUUUUAUCUCACCAAACUGAACUACAGAACAUAAUAAUCUAUAUUUUAUCUCACCAAACUGAACUACAGAACAUAAUAAUCUAUAUUUUAUCUCACCAAACUGAACUACAG